UACGUAGGGCGCAAGCGUUAUCCGGAAUUAUUGGGCGUAAAGAGCUCGUAGGCGGUUUGUCGCGUCUGCCGUGAAAGUCCGGGGCUCAACUCCGGAUCUGCGGUGGGUACGGGCAGACUAGAGUGAUGUAGGGGAGACUGGAAUUCCUGGUGUAGCGGUGAAAUGCGCAGAUAUCAGGAGGAACACCGGUGGCGAAGGCGGGUCUCUGGGCAGUAACUGACGCUGAGGAACGAAAGCGUGGGUAGCAAACAGG
Molecule: ribosomal RNA, 253 nt
Filed under: uncultured bacterium
Lineage: Bacteria
Description: partial 16S ribosomal RNA
Rfam family: Bacterial small subunit ribosomal RNA
Source: RNAcentral